This is a long non-coding RNA of Acipenser ruthenus (sterlet), 4624 nucleotides long. RefSeq lists it as uncharacterized. NCBI's taxonomy places the organism in Eukaryota, Metazoa, Chordata, Actinopteri, Acipenseriformes, Acipenseridae. The record is from RefSeq and is a predicted model, not a curated record. The transcript is spliced from 2 exons.
UGUCACGGCUGACCCCGAACCAGUUAUUAUGUGUAGUAAGAAAUUGGAUUCCUUUGCAUGGAGAAUUUCAGUGGCUAGAGUUCACGGCUCCUCGAUUGAUUCAGAUUCAGUUGUAUUAAGUCUGCCCACUAAUAAUGUAGAGCAAAAUAGGUAUUGUGGUGUUUGCAGAGCCGACCCGAGCUGAACCCAAGACAGAAGUGGAGUCCUGCUGGGAACGAGCUGAAACAUUGGACACGGACUGGAUGAUUUAAAAAUGAAAUGUAUUAAUGAGAUGAUAUGUGCUGUAACCAUUUGUAAUGUUUGAAUAAUCUUUAGUCUGUAACAAAUACUGUAAAGUGCUCUCUCUGUAAGACCGAAAAACAGAAUCUGGUACAACUUGAUACACUGGCCGGCCUUGAGCAGUCUCUUAUUAAAAUUGGCACGAUUCCCAGAAUUUAGUGCUGAAAUCUCUGUUAAGACUUUUCAGCUUGACUACAGAAUAAUGCUGUACUAAUAGAUGUAUGUUAAUAUGCUUGUUUUAAAUGGUAUAGAUUGCUGUGGUAACAUAUAAUCAUAGGUAGUGAUAAUUAUUGUUAGUAUGAAAUACUAUGAACAAUUUUUAUGUAUAAGAUCAUAUGAUUCACUUUGCUUAAUAUGAUAGCAUGCCUGAAGCUGUUUUCUAUCAAGAUGAGCAUAGUUAAAAACUGAGUCCUAAUUCAAUGAAAAGAAUUACUGUGUGCUUACAUUCAAGAAUUAUAACUUCUGAAUAUAAAGGGAAAAGGAGUUAGGAGUAUUCUUAAGGGAAAGAGAAAAACAGAAAAGGAUUAAAAGACCUCGCUUUGAGUAGGUUUCUGUUUGUAAUUCAGUUUUAAAAUAAGUAGGUGAGUAAGAACAACCUAGAGUAAAAGCAGACUCUAACUUAAGAAAAUAAGCAUUGUCAGAAGAUACACCACAAAUAGAGAGUAGGGAAAUUGAAUAAGAACCUAUUGUAAAAUUGCUGAUAUACUGCUGCAGAAAGUAAUAAGGUUAGCAGCCAUACGCUAUAAGAAGUAAUGUACUAGUUUGACUCUGAAGUUAAAAGACGCAGCAUAAAAAGAUGUUGUGUUUAAAAUGCAAAAUAAAAGGAUUGAAUAAAUAAUGAAGAAUAAAAGCAGGAGAUAGGUUUUAGGAGAGUAAACUCUAUGUGACCUGUCUUCUUGAACUCUCUAUCAGCCUGCCCUUGGAGAAAUUAAUAUUAGCUGCUGGAAGGCCUCUUUGGUGGGAAGAAGCCGGAAUUUUUUUAUCAGAAGGCUUAUAGUAUCGGGCCGGACUGCAAAAAUAGGGAGUUAGAACGGAUGGUCUUAGCACUUAAGAUAGUUAGUUGUCGGGCGGAACAAGCACGUAAGAUACAGGUGUAAGGAAAGUUCUAGGGAACAUUAAUCACUAUUAAACUUGGCAAGAAAAGAGGUGUCUCCAGCAAGCUGGUUUUAGCCAGUAUGUGUAUAGCUGAAACAUACAGGGUCAUCUGGAUGUCAAUUAAGUUCAAGCUACCAGGGGCCCAUAGGAGAAAAACAUUACAGCUUUACAGCUCAGUAAAAUAGUUAGGUUUUCCAUAAGGAGAAAACUCUACAUUAAAAAGAUAUAAGAUGGAAGUUCCCUAUAAUACCUGCUAAACACACACCUGUAAGGAAAGAAUGAAAUUAAUUUGAGAGUGAGAUGACAUGAGGGAAUAUAUUUUUGAAAGCCAAGUUCAUGUAAUCAAUUAUAAUCAUUAUAACUAUAACUGCUAUAUUAUGAUAUAACUAUUGGUGUUGCAUAUAUUUAAAACACCACUCCUUUUUAUAAUGCACCCAUAUUAAGUAGUGAAUCAAGGUUGCAGGGAUUUUGUGAACUCUGCUUCACCUAACUUUUCAGAUGAAGGAGGGGGGCCAAGAAUGAGUGGAUGAGAACAUGGGCUAGUGUUGAUUUAUUAAAUGUUGUUGAUUUGUUGGCAUAUGACCUUAAUUGAGUCUGAGGAGUUGGUUGAAUUCUUUAGAGAUUACUGUUUGCCAAGAGAUAAGGACUGUCAAUAUAGAUUGAUGACUGGAUCUAAUUGGGGCUUCCCAUUGCUUUCAAUGGGACGAAAAUUGUAUAAAAACCCUGGGCCGAUCACACUGAGACCACCACAAUCAAGCUUGGCAGAGCUAUGUGUGGUCCAUCCUUUGCAGAUCUCCACAGAACAGUCCUUCUCUUUUGUUCACGCUACUCUUCCUUAUAAUAGGAGAGCCGACCCGAGCUGAACCCAAGACAGAAGUGGAGUCCUGCUGGGAACGAGCUGAAACAUUGGACACGGACUGGAUGAUUUAAAAAUGAAAUGUAUUAAUGAGAUGAUAUGUGCUGUAACCAUUUGUAAUGUUUGAAUAAUCUUUAGUCUGUAACAAAUACUGUAAAGUGCUCUCUCUGUAAGACCGAAAAACAGAAUCUGGUACAACUUGAUACACUGGCCGGCCUUGAGCAGUCUCUUAUUAAAAUUGGCACGAUUCCCAGAAUUUAGUGCUGAAAUCUCUGUUAAGACUUUUCAGCUUGACUACAGAAUAAUGCUGUACUAAUAGAUGUAUGUUAAUAUGCUUGUUUUAAAUGGUAUAGAUUGCUGUGGUAACAUAUAAUCAUAGGUAGUGAUAAUUAUUGUUAGUAUGAAAUACUAUGAACAAUUUUUAUGUAUAAGAUCAUAUGAUUCACUUUGCUUAAUAUGAUAGCAUGCCUGAAGCUGUUUUCUAUCAAGAUGAGCAUAGUUAAAAACUGAGUCCUAAUUCAAUGAAAAGAAUUACUGUGUGCUUACAUUCAAGAAUUAUAACUUCUGAAUAUAAAGGGAAAAGGAGUUAGGAGUAUUCUUAAGGGAAAGAGAAAAACAGAAAAGGAUUAAAAGACCUCGCUUUGAGUAGGUUUCUGUUUGUAAUUCAGUUUUAAAAUAAGUAGGUGAGUAAGAACAACCUAGAGUAAAAGCAGACUCUAACUUAAGAAAAUAAGCAUUGUCAGAAGAUACACCACAAAUAGAGAGUAGGGAAAUUGAAUAAGAACCUAUUGUAAAAUUGCUGAUAUACUGCUGCAGAAAGUAAUAAGGUUAGCAGCCAUACGCUAUAAGAAGUAAUGUACUAGUUUGACUCUGAAGUUAAAAGACGCAGCAUAAAAAGAUGUUGUGUUUAAAAUGCAAAAUAAAAGGAUUGAAUAAAUAAUGAAGAAUAAAAGCAGGAGAUAGGUUUUAGGAGAGUAAACUCUAUGUGACCUGUCUUCUUGAACUCUCUAUCAGCCUGCCCUUGGAGAAAUUAAUAUUAGCUGCUGGAAGGCCUCUUUGGUGGGAAGAAGCCGGAAUUUUUUUAUCAGAAGGCUUAUAGUAUCGGGCCGGACUGCAAAAAUAGGGAGUUAGAACGGAUGGUCUUAGCACUUAAGAUAGUUAGUUGUCGGGCGGAACAAGCACGUAAGAUACAGGUGUAAGGAAAGUUCUAGGGAACAUUAAUCACUAUUAAACUUGGCAAGAAAAGAGGUGUCUCCAGCAAGCUGGUUUUAGCCAGUAUGUGUAUAGCUGAAACAUACAGGGUCAUCUGGAUGUCAAUUAAGUUCAAGCUACCAGGGGCCCAUAGGAGAAAAACAUUACAGCUUUACAGCUCAGUAAAAUAGUUAGGUUUUCCAUAAGGAGAAAACUCUACAUUAAAAAGAUAUAAGAUGGAAGUUCCCUAUAAUACCUGCUAAACACACACCUGUAAGGAAAGAAUGAAAUUAAUUUGAGAGUGAGAUGACAUGAGGGAAUAUAUUUUUGAAAGCCAAGUUCAUGUAAUCAAUUAUAAUCAUUAUAACUAUAACUGCUAUAUUAUGAUAUAACUAUUGGUGUUGCAUAUAUUUAAAACACCACUCCUUUUUAUAAUGCACCCAUAUUAAGUAGUGAAUCAAGGUUGCAGGGAUUUUGUGAACUCUGCUUCACCUAACUUUUCAGAUGAAGGAGGGGGGCCAAGAAUGAGUGGAUGAGAACAUGGGCUAGUGUUGAUUUAUUAAAUGUUGUUGAUUUGUUGGCAUAUGACCUUAAUUGAGUCUGAGGAGUUGGUUGAAUUCUUUAGAGAUUACUGUUUGCCAAGAGAUAAGGACUGUCAAUAUAGAUUGAUGACUGGAUCUAAUUGGGGCUUCCCAUUGCUUUCAAUGGGACGAAAAUUGUAUAAAAACCCUGGGCCGAUCACACUGAGACCACCACAAUCAAGCUUGGCAGAGCUAUGUGUGGUCCAUCCUUUGCAGAUCUCCACAGAACAGUCCUUCUCUUUUGUUCACGCUACUCUUCCUUAUAAUAGGAGGUAAGCAUAUUAAUGGUAUUAUUGUAUCUCGCAUUUAUUGGUUAUAUUGCUAUGAGGUUUUGAAACAAUGUUUUAGUAUUAAGAGUGUUAUAUUGAAUGUGCUAAAAAAUAGCAGUGGGUGCUUGUAGGCUUUGUGCUUAACCAGCCUGAGGGCUGCACUGAAUACAUAUAAUUGUAUUAUGUUAUUGAAGUAUUAAAUGCUGAAGCUUGUAAUAAACUUAGGAUUGCUAAUUAUUGUUACAUGUUUUCGGGUUUUGGUAGUAUGCGCAAACUACUAAACCAAUAUUAAAGGCAUUUUAAUAAAACGAAGGAGCGCUGAUGUUGCUCUGAUUCGUGAAACUUUGAAUAAA